This 1955-nucleotide ribosomal RNA is filed under the name human metagenome. RNAcentral describes it as "bacterial LSU rRNA". It matches the Rfam family "Bacterial large subunit ribosomal RNA", at positions 3 to 2009 of the family's 2925-position model. The record is from RNAcentral.
UCAAGUGAAUAAGUGCAUGUGGUGGAUGCCUUGGCGAUUACAGGCGAUGAAGGACGUUGUAGCCUGCGAAAAGCCGCGGGGAGCUGGCAAACAAGCUUUGAUCCGCGGAUGUCCGAAUGGGGAAACCCACCCGCAAGGGUAUCGCUGACUGAAUCCAUAGGUCAGCGAGGCGAACGUGGCGAACUGAAACAUCUAAGUAGCCACAGGAAAAGAAAUCAACCGAGAUUCCGAAAGUAGUGGCGAGCGAAAUCGGAGCAGCCUGUGCGUGAUAGUCGAUUGGCUAGUGGAACGGUAUGGAAAGGCCGGCCAUAGAGGGUGAUAGCCCCUUACACGAAAGCGAAUCGGUGGUACUGAGCGUACGACAAGUAGGGCGGGACACGUGUAAUCCUGUCUGAAGAUGGGGGGACCAUCCUCCAAGGCUAAAUACUCGUAAUCGACCGAUAGUGAACAAGUACUGUGAAGGAAAGGCGAAAAGAACCCCGGGAGGGGAGUGAAAUAGAUCCUGAAACCGCAUGCAUACAAACAGUCGGAGCCUCGCAAGGGGUGACGGCGUACCUUUUGUAUAAUGGGUCAGCGACUUACGUUCAGUGGCAAGCUUAACCAGAUAGGGGAGGCGCAGGGAAACCGAGUCCGAAUAGGGCGCCAUAGUCGCUGGGCGUAGACCCGAAACCAGGUGAUCUAUCCAUGGUCAGGAUGAAGGUUGGGUAACACCAGCUGGAGGUCCGAACCGACUAAUGUUGCAAAAUUAGCGGAUGAACUGUGGAUAGGGGUGAAAGGCUAAUCAAACCUGGAAAUAGCUGGUUCUCCCCGAAAACUAUUUAGGUAGUGCGUCAUGUAUUGCUCCAGGGGGUAGAGCACUGUAAUGGUUGUGGGGGCCAUCGCGGCUUACCACGCCAUAGCAAACUCCGAAUACCUGGAAGUAUGAGCAUGGCAGACAGUCGCCGGGUGCUAACGUCCGGCGGCAAGAGGGAAACAACCCAGACCUACAGCUAAGGUCCCAAAGUGUGGCUAAGUGGGAAACGAAGUGGGAAGGCUAAAACAGUCAGGAUGUUGGCUUAGAAGCAGCCAUCAUUUAAAGAAAGCGUAAUAGCUCACUGAUCGAGUCGUCCUGCGCGGAAGAUGUAACGGGGCUAAGCCAUGCACCGAAGCUUAGGCUGCACUCUCUGAGUGCGGGGUAGGGGAGCGUUCUGUAAGCCUGUGAAGGUGUCUCGUAAGGGAUGCUGGAGGUAUCAGAAGUGCGAAUGCUGACAUGAGUAGCGUUAAAGCGGGUGAAAAGCCCGCUCGCCGUAAGCGCAAGGUUUCCUACGCAACGUUCAUCGGCGUAGGGUGAGUCGGCCCCUAAGGUGAGGGCGAAAGCCAUAGCUGAUGGGAAGCUGGUUAAUAUUCCAGCACCGAUUUCUAGUGCGAUGGGGGGACGGAUCGUGGAAGGUUGUCCGGGUGUUGGAAGUCCCGGUUCCUGACCUGUAGGUGUCUGGUAGGUAAAUCCGCCAGGCGUAUGCCGAGGGGUUGGGACGAGCGAGCUUGCUCGCGAAGCAACUGGAAGUGGUUCCAAGAAAAGCCUCUAAGCUUCAGCUAGAAACGACCGUACCGCAAACCAACACUGGUGCGCGAGAUGAGUAUUCUCAGGCGCUUGAGAGAACUCGGGAGAAGGAACUCGGCAAAUUGACACCGUAACUUCGGAAGAAGGUGUGCCUUGGUAGCUUGAGUGUGAACAACACAAGGGCAAAGAGGUUGCAAAGAAUAGGUGGCUGCGACUGUUUAUUAAAAACACAGCACUCUGCAAACACGAAAGUGGACGUAUAGGGUGUGACGCCUGCCCGGUGCCGGAAGGUUAAGUGAUGGGGUGCAAGCUCUUGAUCGAAGCCCCGGUAAACGGCGGCCGUAACUAUAACGGUCCUAAGGUAGCGAAAUUCCUUGUCGGGUAAGUUCCGACCUGCACGAAUGGCGUAACGACU